AGAGUUUGAUCCUGGCUCAGAUUGAACGCUGGCGGCAGGCUUAACACAUGCAAGUCGAGCGGAUGAAGGUAGCUUGCUACUGGAUUCAGCGGCGGACGGGUGAGUAAUGCUUAGGAAUCUGCCUAUUAGUGGGGGACAACGUUCCGAAAGGAGCGCUAAUACCGCAUACGUCCUACGGGAGAAAGCAGGGGACCUUUGGGCCUUGCGCUAAUAGAUGAGCCUAAGUCGGAUUAGCUAGUUGGUAGGGUAAAGGCCUACCAAGGCGACGAUCUGUAGCGGGUCUGAGAGGAUGAUCCGCCACACUGGGACUGAGACACGGCCCAGACUCCUACGGGAGGCAGCAGUGGGGAAUAUUGGACAAUGGGGGGAACCCUGAUCCAGCCAUGCCGCGUGUGUGAAGAAGGCCUUUUGGUUGUCAAGCACUUUAAGCGAGGAGGAGGCUACCUAGAUUAAUACUUUAGGAUAGUCGGACGUUACUCGCAGAAUAAGCACCGGCUAACUCUGUGCCAGCAGCCGCGGUAAUACAGAGGGUGCGAGCGUUAAUCGGAUUUACUGGGCGUAAAGCGUGCGUAGGCGGCCAAUUAAGUCAAAUGUGAAAUCCCCGAGCUUAACUUGGGAAUUGCAUUUCGAUACUGGUUGGCUAGAGUAUGGGAGAGGAUGGUAGAAUUCCAGUGUAGCGGUGAAAUGCGUAGAGAUCUGGAGGAAUACCGAUGGCGAAGCAGCCAUCUGGCCCUAAUACUGACGCUGAGGUACGAAAGCAUGGGGAGCAAACAGGAUUAGAUACCCUGGUAGUCCAUGCCGUAACGAUGUCUACUAGCCGUUGGGGCCCUUGAAGGCUUAAUGGCGCACUUACGCCGAUAAGUAGACCGCCUGGGGAGUACAGUCGCCAGACUAAAACUC
This 900-nucleotide ribosomal RNA is filed under the name uncultured bacterium. Its description in RNAcentral is "bacterial SSU rRNA". It matches the Rfam family "Bacterial small subunit ribosomal RNA", at positions 8 to 902 of the family's 1533-position model. The record is from RNAcentral.